RNAcentral lists this ribosomal RNA (499 nucleotides) under uncultured bacterium. RNAcentral describes it as "bacterial SSU rRNA". It matches the Rfam family "Bacterial small subunit ribosomal RNA", at positions 16 to 507 of the family's 1533-position model. The record is from RNAcentral.
AUCAUGGCUCAGAUUGAACGCUGGCGGCAUGCCUUACACAUGCAAGUCGAACGGCAGCACGGGAGCUUGCUCCUGGUGGCGAGUGGCGAACGGGUGAGUAAUACAUCGGAACGUACCCUGAAGUGGGGGAUAACGUAGCGAAAGUUACGCUAAUACCGCAUAUUCUGUGAGCAGGAAAGAGGGGGAUCGCAAGACCUCUUGCUUUAGGAGCGGCCGAUGUCGGAUUAGCUAGUUGGUGAGGUAAAGGCUCACCAAGGCGACGAUCCGUAGCGGGUCUGAGAGGAUGAUCCGCCACACUGGGACUGAGACACGGCCCCAGACUCCUACGGGAGGCAGCAGUGGGGAAUUUUGGACAAUGGGCGCAAGCCUGAUCCAGCCAUGCCGCGUGAGUGAAGAAGGCCUUCGGGUUGUAAAGCUCUUUCGGUGGGGAAGAAAUUGCACAGGAUAAUACCUUGUGUAGAUGACGGUACCCGCAUAAGAAGCACCGGCUAACUACGUG